Molecule: ribosomal RNA, 447 nt
Filed under: uncultured bacterium
Lineage: Bacteria
Description: bacterial SSU rRNA
Rfam family: Bacterial small subunit ribosomal RNA
Source: RNAcentral
CCAGACUCCUACGGGAGGCAGCAGUGGGGGAUAUUGGACAAUGGGGGAAACCCUGAUCCAGCGACGCCGCGUGAGUGAAGAAGUAUUUCGGUAUGUAAAGCUCUGUCAGCAGGGAAGAAAGAAAUGACGGUACCUGACCAAGAAGCCCCGGCUAACUACGUGCCAGCAGCCGCGGUAAUACGUAUGGUGCAAGCGUUAUCCGGAUUUACUGGGUGUAAAGGGAGCGCAGGCGGCGCGUUAAGCCUGGUGUGAAAGCCCGCGGCCCAACCGCGGGACUGCAUUGGGAACUGGCGCGCUGGAGUGCCGGAGGGGCAGGCGGAAUUCCUGGUGUAGCGGUGAAAUGCGUAGAUAUCAGGAGGAACACCGGCGGCGAAGGCGGCCUGCUGGACCGUGACUGACGUUGAGGCUCGGGAGCGUGGGGAGCAAACAGGAUUAGAUACCCGGGUA